This 89-nucleotide ribosomal RNA is filed under the name Rhodococcoides kroppenstedtii. Its description in RNAcentral is "Rhodococcus kroppenstedtii 16S rRNA. Bacterial SSU". It matches the Rfam family "Bacterial small subunit ribosomal RNA", at positions 1 to 88 of the family's 1533-position model. The record is from RNAcentral. Lineage: Bacteria; Bacillati; Actinomycetota; Actinomycetes; Mycobacteriales; Nocardiaceae.
CUUCAACGGAGAGUUUGAUCCUGGCUCAGGACGAACGCUGGCGGCGUGCUUAACACAUGCAAGUCGAACGGUAAGGCCCUUCGGGGUAC